UACGAAGGGGGCUAGCGUUGCUCGGAUUGACUGGGCGUAAAGGGCGCGUAGGCGGUUCGUACAGUCAGACGUGAAAUUCCUGGGCUCAACCUGGGGGCUGCGUUUGAUACGUGCGGACUUGAGUGCGGAAGAGGGUCGUGGAAUUCCCAGUGUAGAGGUGAAAUUCGUAGAUAUUGGGAAGAACACCGGUGGCGAAGGCGGCGACCUGGUCCGAUACUGACGCUGAGGCGCGA
This 233-nucleotide ribosomal RNA is filed under the name uncultured bacterium. Its description in RNAcentral is "partial 16S ribosomal RNA". It matches the Rfam family "Bacterial small subunit ribosomal RNA", at positions 524 to 756 of the family's 1533-position model. The record is from RNAcentral.